AAGAGAUAUUUUGUCGAUUGACGAAUUCUCCACCCCAUGAUAUUUUUUAUGCCGAAAAACGAUUUUAGCUUCGGCAGGACAGUUUUUUGGGUUAGAGAUAAUCCAAAAACGAUUGACAGUUUUGAAAGGACUGUUGAUUAGUUUGCCUGCCGUUAGCAUAAAAUUACCCAAACUCUUGAUAAUUUAUUUAUUGUCUGAUUUGAAUUAUUAAAUAAAUCA
Molecule: unclassified non-coding RNA, 219 nt
Filed under: uncultured fungus
Lineage: Eukaryota; Fungi
Description: sequence contains ITS1, 5.8S rRNA gene
Source: RNAcentral